AACGACUCUCGGCAACGGAUAUCCCGGCUCUCGCAUCGAUGAAGAACGUAGCGAAAUGCGAUACUUGGUGUGAAUUGCAGAAUCCCGUGAACCAUCGAGUUUUUGAACGCAAGUUGCGCCCGAUGCCAUUAGGCUGAGGGCACGUCUGCCUGGGUGUCACGU
This 162-nucleotide ribosomal RNA is filed under the name Bupleurum falcatum. RNAcentral describes it as "5.8S ribosomal RNA". It matches the Rfam family "5.8S ribosomal RNA". From Rfam's summary of the family: 5.8S ribosomal RNA (5.8S rRNA) is a component of the large subunit of the eukaryotic ribosome. The record is from RNAcentral. Lineage: Eukaryota; Viridiplantae; Streptophyta; Magnoliopsida; Apiales; Apiaceae. RNAcentral also lists the same sequence under 1 other name.